This 449-nucleotide ribosomal RNA is filed under the name uncultured bacterium. RNAcentral describes it as "partial 16S ribosomal RNA". It matches the Rfam family "Bacterial small subunit ribosomal RNA", at positions 331 to 793 of the family's 1533-position model. The record is from RNAcentral.
CCAGACUCCUACGGGAGGCAGCAGUGGGGAAUAUUGCACAAUGGGGGGAACCCUGAUGCAGCGACGCCGCGUGGGCGAGGAAGUAUUUCGGUAUGUAAAGCCCUAUCGGCAGGGAAGAAGAAAUGACGGUACCUGAAUAAGAAGCACCGGCUAAAUACGUGCCAGCAGCCGCGGUAAUACGUAUGGUGCAAGCGUUAUCCGGAUUUACUGGGUGUAAAGGGGGCGCAGACGGCAGCGCAAGCCAGGAGUGAAAGCCCGGGGCCCAACCCCGGGACUGCUCUUGGAACUGCGCGGCUGGAGUGCAGGAGGGGCAGGCGGAAUUCCUGGUGUAGCGGUGAAAUGCGUAGAUAUCAGGAGGAACACCGGUGGCGAAGGCGGCCUGCUGGACUGCGACUGACGUUGAGGCCCGAAAGCGUGGGGAGCAAACAGGAUUAGAUACCCCCGUACUG